This 414-nucleotide ribosomal RNA is filed under the name Ruegeria sp. EF2C-B768. Its description in RNAcentral is "bacterial SSU rRNA". It matches the Rfam family "Bacterial small subunit ribosomal RNA", at positions 1 to 451 of the family's 1533-position model. Lineage: Bacteria; Pseudomonadati; Pseudomonadota; Alphaproteobacteria; Rhodobacterales; Roseobacteraceae. The record is from RNAcentral.
UAGAGUUUGAUCCUGGCUCAGAACGAACGCUGGCGGCAGGCCUAACACAUGCAAGUCGAGCGCGCCUUCGGGUGAGCGGCGGACGGGUUAGUAACGCGUGGGAAUAUGCCCUUUGGUACGGAAUAGCCUCUGGAAACGGAGAGUAAUACCGUAUGAGCCCUUCGGGGGAAAGAUUUAUCGCCAAAGGAUUAGCCCGCGUUAGAUUAGGUAGUUGGUGGGGUAAUGGCCUACCAAGCCUACGAUCUAUAGCUGGUUUUAGAGGAUGAUCAGCAACACUGGGACUGAGACACGGCCCAGACUCCUACGGGAGGCAGCAGUGGGGAAUCUUGGACAAUGGGGGCAACCCUGAUCCAGCCAUGCCGCGUGAGUGAUGAAGGCCUUAGGGUCGUAAAGCUCUUUCGCCUGUGAAGAUAA